UACGGAGGGAGCUAGCGUUGUUCGGAAUUACUGGGCGUAAAGAGCGCGCAGGCGGUCGUUCAAGGCGCGUGUGAAAGCCCCCGGCUCAACUGGGGAGGGUCACGCGAUACUGAUCGACUCGAAGGCAGGAGAGGGAAGUGGAAUUCCCGGUGUAGUGGUGAAAUGCGUAGAUAUCGGGAGGAACACCAGUGGCGAAGGCGACUUCCUGGCCUGUUCUUGACGCUGAGGCGCGAAAGCUAGGGGAGCAAACGGG
Molecule: ribosomal RNA, 253 nt
Filed under: uncultured bacterium
Lineage: Bacteria
Description: partial 16S ribosomal RNA
Rfam family: Bacterial small subunit ribosomal RNA
Source: RNAcentral